UUAAUUUUAGUUGAACUAAUAUAAAUCGUUAUAUCGCUUCGCCCUCUGCCGCGAGCAACGACAACGAUCGAACCUGGUUGACAAAGUGCUGAGCCCUCUUCGACGAACAACAUUAGACGCUCUCAGAUGAGGUCUCUGAAACGUGGUGGUCAUCUUGGUGAAGUUCGUCGUCCACGACAGCAUUUGCAGACGUGUUUGAGGUGAUAAUUCUUGCUAGGGAAUCUGGAUUAAAGCUAGAAUUGUCUAAUAUUCCAGUUGAAAGCCUUGUGCCAGAACCACUGCGAGGUUGUGCAUCAGCUCAAGAGUUUAUGCAAGAGCUACCAAAAUUUGAUCAGGAGUUCACAAAGAAACAAGAAGAUGCUGAAAUGUUGGGGAAGUCUUGAGAUACGUGGGAGUUGUGGACGUGACUAAUAAAAAAGGAGUGGUAGAACUGCGAAGAUACAAGAAGGAUCAUCCGUUUGCACAAUUGUUUGGGUUAGAUAAUAUUAUUGCAUUUACAACAAGAAGGUAUCAGGAUCAGCCUCUAAUAGUUCAUGGGCCAGGAGAUGGUGCUCAGUUUUGAAAACAAAAGGUUUAGUGGUCCCGAGCUAAAAGGACUUGUUCCAUAUGAUUUUGGGUGCUGAAGAAAGCUAGAAAUAGCAUAUAUAUCAUCUAAGAAGACUGCAAUGAAGAGGCUUAGUUAAUUUACAUAGGGAAAGGGUGGUGUUAUUUGCAAAUCAAUAUUUCUUGACCAUCUUCAUUGGGAUAAUGGUACAUUGAGAGCAGAUACAGAAGGAUAAAAACAAAAGGUUUAGAGAGGUGAUGUUCUCUAACUUAUCCAUCAUACCUUACCAGUAGAGAAGCAAAAAAUGUAUUCACUUUGUAAGGAAUUUAGUCUGUUUAUUUGGAUUCAAAUGAUAGUUAGUUGAAACUUUGGCCAGCCAGAAUCCAAACUAUAGACUGUGAUAUAAACCUAUUUCUGUCUCCCCAAUCUCAAAUGUCUUUUUUUUGUUCACGGAUGUGUUGCUAUAGCACCUAACUGUUGAAUUUAUUGUUAUUGUUAGCAUUAAUUAUGAGAUGGUUAAUAAAUGCCAGAAUAUGCAUGGACCAUAUAGUGUCUAUAUCUUCUGUUUAUUGAAUGCAUGAACCAUAUAGUGUCUAUAGACUUGAUCUAAGUUUCUGCCAUUUAGUAAAAAUCAUUUAUGCUGAUAGAAAAAUGAGAUGGUUAGAAAGGCUAGAUAUAAUAGCAAACAAUUUUGUUGCACUACCUAGGCUGAAGGAGCUUUCCAAAUUGUAUUAUUUAAACUUACAACAUUCUAAGAAAGGAAUUAGGAUUAGAAGAGAGUUGGAUUGAAAUUCACUAUGCUACCAACUUGAUUCUGAUACUAGAAAGUAAAGAGAGUAUAUGGGAAUUGUAUAUAUAAUAACACAGACCACGCAAGGUAUAUUACAUUAGUUAACUAGGGAGCGAGUUUAGGAUUUAAUUACAAUUGUAACAAUGAUUGUAAGCACUCAUUGACUGCAUUCUCACAGAAAAAUAUACAUGAUAUUUUAUGAUGACAACUUUGCAUUAUAGGAACAAACAGAGUAAAACAGUAGCAACAACUAGCAUAAAAAUUGAGACAUGGAUGGAAUGAACUACAAGGCUUUUUGAUUUGUUCCCAUCAUUCAAUUCUAAGGCUUUUUGGUUGAAUUAGUCCUAUUAGUGUCAUGUAUAAGUCACCGGAAAUAAAUAG
This is a long non-coding RNA of Cajanus cajan (pigeon pea), 1715 nucleotides long. RefSeq lists it as uncharacterized. NCBI's taxonomy places the organism in Eukaryota, Viridiplantae, Streptophyta, Magnoliopsida, Fabales, Fabaceae. The record is from RefSeq and is a predicted model, not a curated record.